AGUGAACGCUGGCGGUAGGCCUAACACAUGCAAGUCGAACGGCAGCACAGAGGAGCUUGCUCCUUGGGUGGCGAGUGGCGGACGGGUGAGGAAUACAUCGGAAUCUACUCUGUCGUGGGGGAUAACGUAGGGAAACUUACGCUAAUACCGCAUACGACCUACGGGUGAAAGCAGGGGAUCUUCGGACCUUGCGCGAUUGAAUGAGCCGAUGUCGGAUUAGCUAGUUGGCGGGGUAAAGGCCCACCAAGGCGACGAUCCGUAGCUGGUUUGAGAGGAUGAUCAGCCACACUGGAACUGAGACACGGUCCAGACUCCUACGGGAGGCAGCAGUGGGGAAUAUUGGACAAUGGGCGCAAGCCUGAUCCAGCCAUACCGCGUGGGUGAGGAAGGCCUUCGGGUUGUAAAGCCCUUUUGUUGGGAAAGAAAUCCAGCUGGCUAAUACCCGGUUGGGAUGUUUUUAAGGGAAGAAUAAGCACCGGCUAACUUCGUGCCAGCAGC
Molecule: ribosomal RNA, 498 nt
Filed under: uncultured bacterium
Lineage: Bacteria
Description: bacterial SSU rRNA
Rfam family: Bacterial small subunit ribosomal RNA
Source: RNAcentral